RNAcentral lists this long non-coding RNA (367 nucleotides) under Helianthus annuus (common sunflower). RNAcentral's name for it is "hypothetical non coding rna". Lineage: Eukaryota; Viridiplantae; Streptophyta; Magnoliopsida; Asterales; Asteraceae. The record is from RNAcentral.
CGCGACCAGGAGGGGGAAAGAAAGGGUGAAACCCUACCUGUUCAAUCAAGGUCAAAAUUCAGCAAAUUAAUGGUGGUUCUUGACACAAAUCGAAUGCAUGAGACUGGAUACAACUUAAUCUAAGUAUAUUGAUCAUAAGCAUGAAUAGGAAUCACAUUAGCAAGGACUCGAAAAUGGAAGGUUAACGGGUCAAGCAGAGGCGAGGAAACAAGCGUGAACACUAACGCUCGAGGUAAGUGACUUUCGAUUCACUUCUUAGUAUACAUAUAGAGUUUUCUUGUUAUGGUUGAAUGGGAUGAUUGAUGUAUAUAAAAUGGCCGACAAGUAGGUAUGUAUGAAUGCAUUUAGGAAAAUUACGUAAGUACAU